Molecule: ribosomal RNA, 188 nt
Filed under: uncultured bacterium
Lineage: Bacteria
Description: partial 16S ribosomal RNA
Rfam family: Bacterial small subunit ribosomal RNA
Source: RNAcentral
CCUACGGGAGGCAGCAGUGAGGAAUAUUGGGCAAUGGAGGCAACUCUGACCCAGCCAUGCCGCGUGCAGGAAGACUGCCCUAUGGGUUGUAAACUGCUUUUAUACAGGAAGAAACACACCUACGUGUAGGUGCUUGACGGUACUGUAAGAAUAAGCACCGGCUAACUCCGUGCCAGCAGCCGCGGUAA